UACAGAGGCCCAAACAUCAUUCGGAAUUACUGGGCUUAAAGAGUUCGUAGGCGGCGUGGAAAGUAGGGUGUGAAAUCCCUCGGCUCAACCGAGGAAUUGCGCUCUAAACUACCAUGCUAGAGGAAGCUAGAGGUGAGCGGAACUGAUGGUGGAGCGGUGAAAUGCGUUGAUAUCAUCAGGAACACCGGAGGCGAAGGCGGCUCACUGGGGCUUUUCUGACGCUGAGGAACGAAAGCCAGGGUAGCGAACGGG
This 252-nucleotide ribosomal RNA is filed under the name uncultured bacterium. RNAcentral's name for it is "partial 16S ribosomal RNA". It matches the Rfam family "Bacterial small subunit ribosomal RNA", at positions 524 to 776 of the family's 1533-position model. The record is from RNAcentral.